UACGUAGGUGGCAAGCGUUAUCCGGAAUUAUUGGGCGUAAAGCGCGCGCAGGCGGUUUCUUAAGUCUGAUGUGAAAGCCCACGGCUCAACCGUGGAGGGUCAUUGGAAACUGGGGAACUUGAGUGCAGAAGAGAAAAGCGGAAUUCCACGUGUAGCGGUGAAAUGCGCAGAUAUCAGGAAGAACACCCGUGGCUAAGGCGGCUCUCUAGUACGGUACUGACGCUGAGACGCGAAAGCGUGGGGAGCGAACAGG
Molecule: ribosomal RNA, 253 nt
Filed under: uncultured bacterium
Lineage: Bacteria
Description: partial 16S ribosomal RNA
Rfam family: Bacterial small subunit ribosomal RNA
Source: RNAcentral